UACAGAGGCCCCAAGCGUUACUGAGAAUCACUGGGUUUAAAGGGUGCGUAGGUGGUCCGUUAAGUUCGUUGUGAAAUCCCUGGGCUCAACCCAGGAACUGCUUCGAAUACUGGCGGACUUGAGGCUAGUAGGGGUCACUGGAACUGACGGUGGAGCGGUGAAAUGCGUAGAUAUCGUCAGGAACGCCAAUGGUGAAGACAGGUGACUGGGCUAGAUCUGACACUGAGGCACGAAAGCGUGGGGAGCGAACAGG
This 253-nucleotide ribosomal RNA is filed under the name uncultured bacterium. Its description in RNAcentral is "partial 16S ribosomal RNA". It matches the Rfam family "Bacterial small subunit ribosomal RNA", at positions 524 to 776 of the family's 1533-position model. The record is from RNAcentral.